UACGAAGGGGGCUAGCGUUGCUCGGAAUGACUGGGCGUAAAGGGCGCGUAGGCGGAUGGCAUAGUCAGAUGUGAAAUUCCCGGGCUUAACCUGGGGACUGCAUUUGAUACGUGUCGUCUUGAGUUCGGAAGAGGGUCGUGGAAUUCCCAGUGUAGAGGUGAAAUUCGUAGAUAUUCGGAAGAACACCAGUGGCGAAGGCGACUCGCUGGACAAGUAUUGACGCUGAGGUGCGAAAGCGUGGGGAGCAAACAGG
This 253-nucleotide ribosomal RNA is filed under the name uncultured bacterium. RNAcentral describes it as "partial 16S ribosomal RNA". It matches the Rfam family "Bacterial small subunit ribosomal RNA", at positions 524 to 776 of the family's 1533-position model. The record is from RNAcentral.